Non-coding RNA from Manis javanica (Malayan pangolin), 638 nucleotides. Lineage: Eukaryota; Metazoa; Chordata; Mammalia; Pholidota; Manidae. The record is from RefSeq and is a predicted model, not a curated record.
AGUGCAGUGAUAAGAGGAACAGAAACUUGUAGAUGUGACUGGUUCGUACUCUCGACUCACAGUGGUUGGCAGAAUUCAUGUAUCAAGUUCAUAAAGUCAUGAAGAGGCAUACACAGUGAAAGAAGGCACAUCUUUCAGCUGGCCUGGGAUAAGGCAGGGAGAGACUGCCGUGCGACAGAGGCAUGUCUCUUCUGCCUGGGGACCUACCCACUUGUGGUGACACCUUGCAGCUCUGCUCAGGCAACAGUCAUUUGACCUCAGACACUGUAAAGAAGAAAGAAGAGGAGGAGAAGCCCUUACAUGCUUCCCUGUUUGCAGACUAUGUUGCAGCUGGAGACUUGGGAGUUAAUCGUAGCUCUGAGCCAUGAGAUCAGAGAGACAGUGAACCCUUCGAUGCAGAUGCAACACAUCUUCUGGCAGCAUGUGAAUUACUUGCCUCAAAGCAAAAUGAAUGUAUAAGCAGCUUUAUCAAUGAUUGGGCAGGAAAUUCUUUACAAGUUUUCAUAUGAGCAUGGAGUAGCAAAUGGAAAAUAAUAUUCUGGUAAUCAGAAUUGCUCAUUUAAGGUCUAGAUGUCAUUGAUAUUGUAUUUAUUUAGCGAGUUGGGUUAUGGUUUCAUUUUACUGAAUUAAAAAAAAAC